CACGUAGGGGGCAAGCGUUGUCCGGAUUUAUUGGGCGUAAAGAGCUCGUAGGCGGUUCGGUAAGUCGGGUGUGAAACCUCCAGGCUCAACCUGGAGACGCCACCCGAUACUGCUGUGACUUGAGUCCGGUAGGGGAGCGUGGAAUUCCUGGUGUAGCGGCGAAAUGCGCAGAUAUCAGGAGGAACACCAGCGGCGAAGGCGGCGCUCUGGGCCGGAACUGACGCUGAGGAGCGAAAGCGUGGGUAGCAAACAGG
RNAcentral lists this ribosomal RNA (254 nucleotides) under uncultured bacterium. RNAcentral describes it as "partial 16S ribosomal RNA". It matches the Rfam family "Bacterial small subunit ribosomal RNA", at positions 524 to 776 of the family's 1533-position model. The record is from RNAcentral.